AUUGAACGCUGGCGGCAUGCCUUACACAUGCAAGUCGAACGGUAACGCGGGGCAACCUGGCGACGAGUGGCGAACGGGUGAGUAACGCAUCGGAACGUGCCCAGUAGUGGGGGAUAGCCCGGCGAAAGCCGGAUUAAUACCGCAUACGACCUACGGGUGAAAGGGGGGGAUCGCAGGACCUCUCGCUAUUGGAGCGGCCGAUGUCAGAUUAGGUAGUUGGUGGGGUAAAGGCCCACCAAGCCUUCGAUCUGUAGCUGGUCUGAGAGGACGACCAGCCACACUGGGACUGAGACACGGCCCAGACUCCUACGGGAGGCAGCAGUGGGGAAUUUUGGACAAUGGGCGCAAGCCUGAUCCAGCCAUGCCGCGUGCGGGAAGAAGGCCUUCGGGUUGUAAACCGCUUUUGUCAGGGAAGAAACGCUCUGGGCUAAUACCUCGGGGUAAUGACGGUACCUGAAGAAUAAGCACCGGCUAACUACGUGCCAGCCGCCGCCGUAA
RNAcentral lists this ribosomal RNA (498 nucleotides) under uncultured bacterium. RNAcentral's name for it is "partial 16S ribosomal RNA". It matches the Rfam family "Bacterial small subunit ribosomal RNA", at positions 29 to 523 of the family's 1533-position model. The record is from RNAcentral.